Molecule: ribosomal RNA, 2888 nt
Filed under: Neisseria gonorrhoeae
Lineage: Bacteria; Pseudomonadati; Pseudomonadota; Betaproteobacteria; Neisseriales; Neisseriaceae
Description: 23S ribosomal RNA
Rfam family: Bacterial large subunit ribosomal RNA
Source: RNAcentral
UCAAGUGAAUAAGUGCAUCAGGCGGAUGCCUUGGCGAUGAUAGGCGACGAAGGACGUGUAAGCCUGCGAAAAGCGCGGGGGAGCUGGCAAUAAAGCUAUGAUUCCGCGAUGUCCGAAUGGGGAAACCCACUGCAUUCUGUGCAGUAUCCUAAGUUGAAUACAUAGGCUUAGAGAAGCGAACCCGGAGAACUGAACCAUCUAAGUACCCGGAGGAAAAGAAAUCAACCGAGAUUCCGCAAGUAGUGGCGAGCGAACGCGGAGGAGCCUGUACGUAAUAACUGUCGAGAUAGAAGAACAAGCUGGGAAGCUUGACCAUAGCGGGUGACAGUCCCGUAUUCGAAAUCUCAACAGCGGUACUAAGCGUACGAAAAGUAGGGCGGGACACGUGAAAUCCUGUCUGAAUAUGGGGGGACCAUCCUCCAAGGCUAAAUACUCAUCAUCGACCGAUAGUGAACCAGUACCGUGAGGGAAAGGCGAAAAGAACCCCGGGAGGGGAGUGAAACAGAACCUGAAACCUGAUGCAUACAAACAGUGGGAGCGCCCUAGUGGUGUGACUGCGUACCUUUUGUAUAAUGGGUCAACGACUUACAUUCAGUAGCGAGCUUAACCGGAUAGGGGAGGCGUAGGGAAACCGAGUCUUAAUAGGGCGAUGAGUUGCUGGGUGCAGACCCGAAACCGAGUGAUCUAUCCAUGGCCAGGUUGAAGGUGCCGUAACAGGUACUGGAGGACCGAACCCACGCAUGUUGCAAAAUGCGGGGAUGAGCUGUGGGUAGGGGUGAAAGGCUAAACAAACUCGGAGAUAGCUGGUUCUCCCCGAAAACUAUUUAGGUAGUGCCUCGAGCAAGACACUGAUGGGGGUAAAGCACUGUUAUGGCUAGGGGGUUAUUGCAACUUACCAACCCAUGGCAAACUCAGAAUACCAUCAAGUGGUUCCUCGGGAGACAGACAGCGGGUGCUAACGUCCGUUGUCAAGAGGGAAACAACCCAGACCGCCGGCUAAGGUCCCAAAUGAUAGAUUAAGUGGUAAACGAAGUGGGAAGGCACAGACAGCCAGGAUGUUGGCUUAGAAGCAGCCAUCAUUUAAAGAAAGCGUAAUAGCUCACUGGUCGAGUCGUCCUGCGCGGAAGAUGUAACGGGGCUCAAAUCUAUAACCGAAGCUGCGGAUGCCGGUUUACCGGCAUGGUAGGGGAGCGUUCUGUAGGCUGAUGAAGGUGCAUUGUAAAGUGUGCUGGAGGUAUCAGAAGUGCGAAUGUUGACAUGAGUAGCGAUAAAGCGGGUGAAAAGCCCGCUCGCCGAAAGCCCAAGGUUUCCUACGCAACGUUCAUCGGCGUAGGGUAAGUCGGCCCCUAAGGCGAGGCAGAAAUGCGUAGUCGAUGGGAAACAGGUUAAUAUUCCUGUACUUGAUUCAAAUGCGAUGUGGGGACGGAGAAGGUUAGGUUGGCAAGCUGUUGGAAUAGCUUGUUUAAGCCGGUAGGUGGAAGACUUAGGCAAAUCCGGGUUUUCUUAACACCGAGAAGUGAUGACGAGUGUCUACGGACACGAAGCAACCGAUACCACGCUUCCAGGAAAAGCCACUAAGCUUCAGUUUGAAUCGAACCGUACCGCAAACCGACACAGGUGGGCAGGAUGAGAAUUCUAAGGCGCUUGAGAGAACUCGGGAGAAGGAACUCGGCAAAUUGAUACCGUAACUUCGGGAGAAGGUAUGCCCUCUAAGGUUAAGGACUUGCUCCGUAAGCCCCGGAGGGUCGCAGAGAAUAGGUGGCUGCGACUGUUUAUUAAAAACACAGCACUCUGCCAACACGAAAGUGGACGUAUAGGGUGUGACGCCUGCCCGGUGCCGGAAGGUUAAUUGAAGAUGUGCAAGCAUCGGAUCGAAGCCCCGGUAAACGGCGGCCGUAACUAUAACGGUCCUAAGGUAGCGAAAUUCCUUGUCGGGUAAGUUCCGACCCGCACGAAUGGCGUAACGAUGGCCACACUGUCUCCUCCCGAGACUCAGCGAAGUUGAAGUGGUUGUGAAGAUGCAAUCUACCCGCUGCUAGACGGAAAGACCCCGUGAACCUUUACUGUAGCUUUGCAUUGGACUUUGAAGUCACUUGUGUAGGAUAGGUGGGAGGCUUGGAAGCAGAGACGCCAGUCUCUGUGGAGUCGUCCUUGAAAUACCACCCUGGUGUCUUUGAGGUUCUAACCCAGACCCGUCAUCCGGGUCGGGGACCGUGCAUGGUAGGCAGUUUGACUGGGGCGGUCUCCUCCCAAAGCGUAACGGAGGAGUUCGAAGGUUACCUAGGUCCGGUCGGAAAUCGGACUGAUAGUGCAAUGGCAAAAGGUAGCUUAACUGCGAGACCGACAAGUCGGGCAGGUGCGAAAGCAGGACAUAGUGAUCCGGUGGUUCUGUAUGGAAGGGCCAUCGCUCAACGGAUAAAAGGUACUCCGGGGAUAACAGGCUGAUUCCGCCCAAGAGUUCAUAUCGACGGCGGAGUUUGGCACCUCGAUGUCGGCUCAUCACAUCCUGGGGCUGUAGUCGGUCCCAAGGGUAUGGCUGUUCGCCAUUUAAAGUGGUACGUGAGCUGGGUUUAAAACGUCGUGAGACAGUUUGGUCCCUAUCUGCAGUGGGCGUUGGAAGUUUGACGGGGGCUGCUCCUAGUACGAGAGGACCGGAGUGGACGAACCUCUGGUGUACCGGUUGUAACGCCAGUUGCAUAGCCGGGUAGCUAAGUUCGGAAGAGAUAAGCGCUGAAAGCAUCUAAGCGCGAAACUCGCCUGAAGAUGAGACUUCCCUUGCGGUUUAACCGCACUAAAGGGUCGUUCGAGACCAGGACGUUGAUAGGUGGGGUGUGGAAGCGCGGUAACGCGUGAAGCUAACCCAUACUAAUUGCCCGUGAGGCUUGACU